Non-coding RNA from Coturnix japonica (Japanese quail), 9209 nucleotides. The record is from RefSeq and is a predicted model, not a curated record. Lineage: Eukaryota; Metazoa; Chordata; Aves; Galliformes; Phasianidae.
AAGAGAGAGAGAGAGAGGAGGGAAAGGAGAAAAGCUGAACAGAACCAUGGGUUGAAUCUAGAUGGUUUGUCAGCAACAAGAGACGAGUCAAUGGCUCUUAAACACUUGCUAAAGAUGAAUCCAUUGAAGGUUUUGUGCUUGGUAAUUUCACUGAGAUUAAAAUACACCUGUAAAACCCAAACAACACUUUGUAACUCCAAGCUGCACCAGGGAAGACCUGCUACCUCAAAGCUCUGCAUACUUCUUUUGGUCAGGGGAGAGAGACCCGCAGGUAACCUGUCUUUCUCCAGUACCAGACUUCAUCAAAGCAAAGAGUUCCAUAUAUGCAGUGUGGAUUGGCUGUCGAUUCUGUGGCUGAGCAGUGUGCCAAUCUGCCCUCCUUUCAUCCCCCUCCUGCCCCAAGAAACAUCUCCCCAGUCAGAAGAGCACUCCCAGGAGGAGCAAAACAAGGAGGAGAGAAAGAGAGGAGCGGGAGCAGCACGGGAACAAAACUGCAGACCAGGUACCAUGAAUGAGCGGGGCGCUUGGCGGGCAGAAUUGUGUUUGUGCAGUGGGCAGCUCCAGUUCUCAUGCAGAACUUACUGGGCAUUACGCAUUACAACGUGGGAAUCGUUUGCUUCUGAUGCAGGCUGCCUCUCAGGAUGGCAGAGAGAGAUGUGACGGAAAACAGGAGUGAGAUAGGCAGUUUUGGUUCCUAUACUGACCUGACUGUAUGCUCCAUGCUCUCCUCCGGGGCUGCUGGCAGCUCUGGAACCCAAAAUGGCUUCUGAACAUCCCUCUGUUGCUGCAAGUACUGGAGCUGACAUGCUUGGGGCAGAGUGCUGCUCACUGGGACUGAUCGCAGAGAAAACCCUCUUGUUUGCAGGUGUGUGAGGUUACAUGGAGGAGGUUUGCAUGAAGGAGGCUUGCUUGGAGGAGGUUUAAAGCAAGGCUCAUUGAUGAGAGCUGGUUGUGGCAAGCGUCAGGAGGAGCCAUAGUUGGGUUGUUUCAUUAGGACUUUGAGGAUCAUUACUUUUCCUUCCAUUUGUCCAACUGAAAAUUCAUAGAGUUUUGGCUUUUUGUGGUUAAUCUGAGGAGGGUUGUGUUUUUUUAUUCUGAGAUAUUCCAGCAAAACAGAAGGACGCUGUAAGUUGUCCAGGACAAAUGAGAUAUGUAGAUGGCCACUGUCUUUUCUGAAGAAGCAGUGAUUUCACACAGGGAAGACCAUCCCAACAUGAAAAAACAAUCGCAAUUAUUCUUCUCCCGAAACAUAAAAUGAAACCUUUUGCCUUUUCAAAAUUACCAUUUCCAUUUAAAUUUUCCCCAGUGGCAGAUGACCGGCCAAAUCCAGCAUAAGCUAGCCAACAGCCCAUCAGCUGAGGGCACCAUUUAUUCUGCAAAUAAACUUUAUUCACUGGAGUAAAAAGAGCAACAGCAAAUCCCAACACUGUGUUCCUAAAAGUUGGGCUGCGGUCGGAUCUGCGGUACGUGCUUCUGCCAAUAUUUGCAUAGCAUUUGAAACAACAGAGACCGUUUGGAGCUAUCUGGGGAGCACCAGGGCAGGGUGCUGGGCAGAGCCAUGCAGGGACCCAGGCCGAGGUUUGUUUACCCCGCGGCUCAGUGCUCUCCAGACUGCUGCGGUCAGUGCUGCUCUCCUAAUGGAGAGCCUGCCACUUGUGCAUGCAAAGAAUCAUUUGGGUGUUAGUUUUGUUUGCCAAUACAAGCCGCCCAUUAGCUAUCUUAAUCCUCUUUCCUAACAGGCUUUAAAAAAAAAAAAAAAAGGGAAAACAGAAGGUCUCUCUCUCUCUCUCAAAUAUUGUUGUAGAGGAAAAAAAUGCCCUUCUCCUUUUCUUUUUCUUUUUUUUCUUUCUUCUAAAUGGAAAUGUCUUGCUUUAUUGUAGUUUUGCCUUCUGAAAGUUGAUGUAUUUUUCACUGAGGAGGCUGGAAACUGCUUGUGGAGGAUUUACAAAAGGAAUAAAACUCUGACUUGUUUCGAUGCUUUCACAGAAAAUGAAAGUGAAUGUCAGGAGCCGCUCUGGGAUAAACUUCCAGCAGAUAUGGGGUUAGAUGGGACCGGUUUGUGCUCAUCCUGCUCACUGCCUUCCCUUCCCGACAUUGUUUUGGAUGAAAUGCAAAAUCAGAUCCUGCAAGAUGUGAUCAUUUAGGGUACUGUGGCAUAUUUUGAAACAGUAGGGCUGUUAGCCCCAGCAUCUUGGCCAAAUUCCAGCCUGGAUAAUUACAUUCUGCCGGCCUAUAUUCCAGCCUGCAGUUCAAAUAGGGAAGAAAAAAAAAAAAAAAAAAAAAAGAAAAAAAAGAAAAAAAAAAAAGACUUAUCAUUUCUCCUCCAAGAAAUCCUGCUGUGAGAUGACUGAUGCUUUUCCACCCCAGAAGUAGCUGUGAUUCAGGAAACAUUGCCUCCAUGUUCCUCCACGUCUUACCCAUUGCUGUGAGGAAGUCUGUCUGGCUCCUUGGUGGGAACAAAGCACAGAGCUGACCGGGAGGGAGCUGCAUUGCCUUGCACAUCCCCUUCACUGCUCUGUGUCCCUCUUUGCAUGGAACCCUACUACACAGGGCCACGUCCUCACAGCCUGCAGCAGGUCUUUGUGCUGCCAGCAGCCAAGGGUGGGCUGGGGAGGACAUGAGGCACAGAGGGCAGGCCAGCCACGGUGGGAGAGGGAGGACUCACUUGACCCGUGCCUGUAAUUUGUAAAGAGCAUUUUUACACCAGAUCAAUGCUUUCCUCAGCAUUUUAAUGCACCCCAUUGGUGUCCUUAAACUCUAAUGAUGCAGUCUGUGAGAAGCUGCCAUUUAUUACCCACAGAUGGGGUGAUAAUUAUUGACAAGAUUGUAACUAAUAAUUAAACCCAUUUGCUCCUUUAAACAAGUUGGUGUGAAUUAUUUGCCGGGAGAGCUGUAGCAGGCCUGUGGUCACUCCUCCCCAUGGCUGAGAUGCAGUGCUGCCAGGAGCGGGCCCUGCAUGUAAGAUGAAACGUGGCUGUCCUGGGGACCAGACCAUCCCGGGGACCAUGCUGUCCCCUUGCAGCCCACACUCCAGCCUGCAGCAGAACCAAGCUGGUGUGGGGGCAGCACCAAGCUCCUGCCCAGCCCUAUCGUGGCCCUAUCAUGGCCAGGGGCAGCACUGCAGUGUCCACGUGGCUGUGGGGCAGUUGGGCAGAGGAUGAGGGUACGAGGUGGGGGGAAGCAGAGCACAGCAUCACAGUGCUCAGAAGGCCGCCCGGGGGAGCUGCCUUCCUCUGCUGUACGUUUGGAGGGAGGGUGUAAAUCUAAUCUCGGUGCUAGGGUCCAUUAGCAUUAGAGGGGAGUACUGUAUAUGCAUUCAUUCCCCGCUCUCACCCCUGGAUGACAGAGUACCCCCUCUGUUGUCUGCUUUAGCACACUGGGAAAGGCUACCCAUUAAUUCUGCAGCAGCAGUGGAUAAUGCUGUCGUAAGUCUUAGGUGCCUCUGAAUUUUGUGAGCAUUUUACAGUAAUAAAUACCCCACUCUUCUGCAUUUAAUUAGUUGUGUAUUACACAGUUGUUCCAUCUGUGCUCUGAUUUGGCUGUUUGCUCAUGGAGGUGGGCUGGUUUCUUGUGCUCCCGCUCAGCCCCAAGGAAGGAGACCAGGAUGUGGUAGAAGAGGUUUGUGGCAAGAGAGGGAGAGGUGCGAUUGUGAAGGUUUGUUGUACUGGAAGAGCAACCCUGAGCUGAGAAGAUGAAUGCAAAGCAACCAUGUUGCUAGAAAUAAGCUUCGGUACAUCCAUAAUGUUGAUGCAGUCUCACCCUCUGCAGUGCAAUGCAUGCAUGUCAAACUGCUCAGGGCUGGGUUUCUGAAGAGGUUACUGUGCUGUUAAAUGUUCUGGCAGCAGUAUUUGCCCUGUUCCUGCUCUCUCCCCUUCCACAUGUACCAUGUUGCACAGGCUAUGAAAUGACGAUACAAACAUGUCCACAAAAGCUCAUCUGCGUGUCUGACUUUGCUUUCAGCAUUUGUCGUACCCUUCUUCAGUGAAAAAACUAUGGGAAGACCUAAAGCCUCACCCUUGCUUGCUGCAUUACAUGAUCCCUCUUUGUGAAACUUCACCGAAGUCUUGCACCUGCAGGACACAUUUCACAAGGGCAAGCAAGCACACUGCUCUCCUAAAUCUGCAGGAGCCUGGGUUCAACCAGUGAAAAGUUGGGCUGCAAACUCCAGGUCCUGGGUGAGAAACAUCACGGCUGCAGGGCAGAGCUACUGCUCUUCUGUGAGGCUGAUCUGCUAAUUCAGAUCCCUCCGGGGAGUGCUGACAGGUUAACUUCUCCUGGCAGACUCAAUGUGCGUUUGGUAUUAUUUCUCCACGACUCUGACUUUAUGCCUUAAAAUAUCGCCUGUCAUCCCCCUGCAGCUUGCAGAAAGGUGGAAGAAAAUUGAAGUUGGCACAAAAAUCCCUCAGAGAGUGUGCUCUGGCUCGCUCAGGAAGGCAUGAUGCCACAAGGAUACCUGCCCUGGUCAGGUCUGCGUGGCUGGUGGAGCCCAUACUGUGCACAUCUGGUGGUGGCACCCAGGGAGGUGUGGGGACCAACCAUAGCCCCAUGGGGGUGUGCUCACCCUGCUGCCUGCAGCCAUCACUCAGGGCUCAGAGGGGCUAUUUACCCACUUAAAGCUAAUCUCAUGCAUAAUUCUUGGAGGGAUCAAGGCUGUGGGAGAAACCAAGAGAAGGCAGUGAGAAGGCAUAUGUCAAACAGGGCUGUGGUCGAGAGCUCUCUGAGGCUUAAACAUAACAUUUGAGAAAAUGAGUCCAUUUGUUUCAGAGGCAUCCUGAACAUUGGCAUGUAGUAAUUCCAUAAUGGAUCCAUUUAACCAGCCUUAUAACUGAAAUAUCCUUAGCAAAUAUUUCCUUUAAUAGCACUUAAAAAGGGAACGCAGGCAGAGAAAUUUUAAAGCACAGCUGCAUUAUUGCUGAGUUCUAGUUCUGAGGACUUUCAAAGUACCAAGCUAAUUUUUCUCCACAUUUGGCUCAAUAUUUAACAAAUCAAAUGAGAUCAGGAAGAAACCUGAGGUCAAUGUUUUUAACCUGAGUUGUUCGUUAAAUCAUCUCAGCUCUGCAGUAACAAAUACAGCAAGCGCAUGUUGCAGUGGAAGGUAAUUCAGAUAAUCCUCAGAAACUUUGCAAUAAGAUCAUCAUUCCAGAGAACAAGGCUGGAAAAGGCUGUUGGGAAGAAACCUUUCUGUGGGAAGUUCACAAAGAUGGGGCCUGGAAUUAGAAUAAAAGCCAGAUUUCAGCCUCAGCUGUAGUGAUUAACUGCCUUAACUUUAGUAAUCGUUAAUGAGCAUCUACAUGAGCCAAACCAAAUUGGCAUUUGCACAGAAGCAAGACAGGUUGCAUCCAGCCCGAAGCUGCUCAGAAAGAUGGAUGUAAGCCAUGCAGAGGAGGGGCAGCUCUCACCAAAGCCUUUUUCAGCCUUGUGGCAGCCACAGGCUGCCUGCUGGGUAGGAAAAGAGUAGGGACUGCAGCACUUAGGGCCAUCAGUGUUUGAAGGGAGUUCCUCAGGCACAGUUGGGUGCCCAUUUCCAUAGCAAACAGGAAAAUCAGAGCUUCUCUCUUCUCAGGGCCACCUGUCCUCCUGGGUCUGAGAGUGAGUGCAGUCCCUCGGGUCACCCCAGUAAUUGCUCCUUGCGAUUUAGCAGGUAGAUGUUAAUCGUGCUGUCCACAUCACACAGCCCCUCGCAGAUCACCAGCAAGGGCUCUCUAGGCCAUCGGUGGCCCACAGCCCUGUUUCAGAAGCAACGUGCUAUAAUAAUGUAUCCCUAACCAUGCUUUAUACCAAUAAGUAGGCUAUAACCCUGUCAAGGUGUGCUGGUGACUCUAUAAACCAUGAGACCUGAAUGGUCAAUGGUCGAGUGGUUUAAAGCUGUCACCAGAAUACUGAGAUAGCCUUAUAAGCCUUGUGCUGCAUGGCUGGGGAUACAUUAUUCACUAUAAUAUAUGGUAAGAAAUACCUGUGCAGGGUCUGAAAUGAACUGCUCUAGCCACUAGCCAGCAUGGCUAGUGAUCAGGGAAAUCCGUCAGCAUUUUUGUGUGCAACGGGAGGCAAAAAGACAGAGGCACCGAGGAGGGGAAGCUGCCUUCUCUGUGCAAAGAAAUUGCGUUUCCUGUAGGGGAUGGAGGGUGAGUACAAGCAAGCCGCAGUCUGAGAGCACAGACAGAGCCCCUCACUGCCCAGGACUGAAGGCCUUCAGACCCAUGCAGGCCCAUGUUCUGCAGCCACGAGCCCUAUCAGAUGGUGGGUGUGCUUUGUUCAUCCAGCUGGCAUGAACUGUGGCAAUUUUGCAUUCUUCCUAGCUGAGCAGCCCAUACCCUGCCUAGCUGGCUGGUGGUGGGUCAGGGUGUGUUGGGAGCUUUUCCAGUCUUUCUAUUAAGUAUAGUAUAGUACAGUAUAGUGUAUCAGUCAAGGUCUUUUGUGGCAUAUUCUAUUUGCUGAGCUCCAAGAACUCAAUGAAGAGGUUCACUAGCAUCCCCAUCAUAUUGCUGGGGAAAUCAAGGCAAAGUGCAGUGUUACCCAAGAUCACCAGACCAGGGGACGAGUCACUAGUUCUUGGAAACACGCAAAACUUCAGGGUCUUUCUUAAAGACCAGAAUUUUAAUGGACAGCUUUGCAAUUAAAAUCAGGGAAGGAGCUUGUGCCAGCUCAUACCCCACCACUGCAGAGCUCUCUCCUGCCAUGCUGUCAGCAAUAUGUGCAGCGACUGAUGUUUAUAACCGAUGAAAAGUGGCUACUGACGCUCAGCUAAGCCUCGUAUUUAAGACCCUCUGCAAGCAGAAGGCUUAGAGAAAGCAAAGGUGGGCUUUCUCUGUGAUGCCUUGUAACAAUUCAUGGCCAUCAUCUGCCUCCUGUAUGCAUGCACUAUGGAUCAUACUGGGAUGAGCUGUUUCACCUACCAUGAAUUUCUUCCAGUCUGCUCUUCUGUUUUUGGAGGAAUAACAUGGACUCAACUCAGAGCAGCUCAGCUAUGGCUCAUGGCCAGGCUAGGUGCAAUAUGUGCAAUUGUAGGGUAAGGGAGGAAGGGAAGGCAGAAGUAGGUCUGGAGGAUGCCCCAGAUCAAAUGUGGUAGCACAUGGAGGAGUGAGAAGAGCUUUGAAGAGGCUCUGGAGUGGUUUAGGACUAAAGAAGCCUCUGUCACCCACAACCUUGGCAGAUCAAAGACUUUCCCAUCCUGGCAGUUUAUGCCUCUCCAGCUGUAGGAGACAAAGUCCCUGAGAGCACGCCCAUGUGAGUGCCCUUUAGGGGCGGGGGAGAAACGAGGAGGGCUUGGGGGAUUUCAUUAGGAGAUGGGAGGGGAGGGAGGAAAGCCCUGGUCCUGAACAAUAGGCAGAGCUCAGAUCGCCUGGAAGGCUUGGCUGGUUUGUUUUAUUUAUUGCAUAGACAUACAUAUGUAUACAUACAUACGUGUAUGUAUGCACACGGACAUGUGUAUUGUUUUCCAUCUAUUUAUUGCCCUUUAUCAGGCAUGGACCAGGAGCAUCGCUUCUCAUCUCAGCGGCUGGCAGACAAUAGGGCUGCCGGGGAUAUGCUGAGAACGGGUACAGGGAGAGGGAAUGGGCUGCUGGGAUCAGUAGCUGGGAAACCAGGGAUGGGCUGGAGGAAUCCGGGGGUGUGAGCACGGGCUGGCCACCCCCGCACCCCCCUUGUUAUGUUAAGAGCCCGUCCACCAAGCAGGAGCCAUGCGGUGCAGGGGGAGCAGAGGGAUGGCUCUGAAUGCGGCCGCCCCGGCAUCCUUCUGUUCUCCAUAUGGGGACAUUGUCUGGCCUCAGGCUGGCAGCCCCCUCCCUCCACGUCGCCUCUCUUCCCCCACUGUGCACACGUCAAAUGUUGGUUUCCCUUUUGAUUAAAACCCUCGGAGCGGCCAGCGGGGUGACGGGCACCAGGAAUUUGUGAAAGAUGGAGGAGGAGGAGAAACAAGUUUGUGUUUGCCGAGCGGAAGCCACUUCCCUCCAUCCCCCCUCCCUCGGCCUCCCUCCCACCUCCUCUGGGCUGACUGUGGCUGGGGGCCAAGCAGGCGUGGGCGAACAGGGUGCUGUGGAGGACAGAUACCCAGAGGAAUUCACCCACCCCACCCCAGCCCAAACCUGCUGCCCUGACUGCAAGGUGCUACAUCCACCUGUAACCUUACUGCAGACCAAGAUGCUGCUCACAAAGGGUUUCCCUGCAACACCCACCUUGUGCAGCCCCAUUGCACAGCUAUGGAUAAGCUGGUGGGUUCUUAAACCAAAAAGGGCUCUCUGUCUCCCUCUGUCCAGCUCUUGGCUCUUAGUUCCUAAGCACUUAAACUUUCAAGUCCACGCUUUGCUUGUUUCCUGUGCUUUCCACCAGAAAGUUGUGCAAACUGCAUUAGAAAGUCUCAUCUCUAGUGAUUUUUUAUCUUUGAUAUUAGUGAAGAUAGAACUAAUGGCGUCGAGCAAUGUAAGGAAGAGGAAGAUUAAACAAAAUCUAUCCUCUGCAAAAACAAAGCAAUCAAUAGAACAUUAUCCUGCCGCGGUGCCUUUCAACUUACUUUGAUUUGUGAACUCCCAGAAAAGCUCCUGCAAAGGCUCAGCACCCCAGCAGGCAGCUCCCAAACUGCUGAAAUCACUUUUCCCACCUUCUUCACAGCAAGUCCCUGCUCUGCCAGGGAUCUGCAGAUCGCAGGCUGAAAAACGGCAUCUGCCAGGAUGCGAGUUCAAUACUUAAUAUAGCGGAUCUUACCGCUAUCACAAGCGGUUCUUGUGAUAUCCUCAGAGUUCUUACAUGGAGAACCCUUUGGGAAGCUCACACUUCUAGUCUCACACUUCAUCACUCUGCUCUCAUCUUCGGAGCCUAUCUGCUGUGGCAGAGAAAUACCGAGUGCUGCUGUUCACCAAACAUGGGGAAUGCGACAGAUUACAAAUGGGUGGGAAAAUUCUGGAUGCAUAGAUUUUCUUGUAGAAAUAAACAACAAAAGGGAUUUUUUUUCUUUAAAGGUACGUUAUUUUUUUCCUCCAGUAAUCAUAAAAAGAAAUGGUAGUUCAAACUCAAAACCAACUCAUGGUUUUAUUCUCUUUUGUUCUGUAUUUUUGGUUCUGCUUUGUGUUCUCUCUUUCAUUUUUAAAUCCCUUUGGCUGUAGAGAAGUAUUCCUUUUGGAGAGGAGAACGCUUGUUUUUAAACAAGGGUAUAGCAUAGGAAAGGGGGGGGAAUAGGACAAAAGAGAGUUUGGUGUUUAAGGUACAAAAUAUUUCCU